This 887-nucleotide ribosomal RNA is filed under the name uncultured archaeon. RNAcentral's name for it is "bacterial SSU rRNA". It matches the Rfam family "Archaeal small subunit ribosomal RNA", at positions 35 to 922 of the family's 1478-position model. The record is from RNAcentral.
GGGGAUUGAGGUCGCUAGCCAUGCGAGUCGAAUGUAGCAAUACAUGGCGUACUGCUCAGUAACACGUGGACAACCUACCCUCAGGUUGGGGAUAAACCCGGGAAACUGGGUAUAAUACCCGAUAGAUCUCGGCUGCUGGAAUGCAUCGAGCUCUAAAGCUCCGGCGCCUGAGGAUGGGUCUGCGGCCUAUCAGGUAGUAGUGGGUGUAGCGUACCUACUAGCCUACGACGGGUACGGGUUGUGAGAGCAAGAGCCCGGAGAUGGAUUCUGAGACACGAAUCCAGGCCCUACGGGGUGCAGCAGGCGCGAAAACUUUACAAUGCCGGCAACGGCGAUAAGGGGACCUCGAGUGCCAGGUUACAAAUCUGGCUGUCGUGAUGCCUAAAAAGCAUUGCAUAGCAAGGGCCGGGCAAGACCGGUGCCAGCCGCCGCGGUAACACCGGCGGCUCGAGUGGUAACCGUUAUUAUUGGGUCUAAAGGGUCUGUAGCCGGCCGGAUAAGUCUCUUGGGAAAUCCAGCAGCUCAACUGUUGGGCUUUCAGGAGAUACUGUCUGGCUCGAGGCCGGGAGAGGUGAGAGGUACUUCAGGGGUAGGGGUGAAAUCUUGUAAUCCUUGAAGGACCACCAGUGGCGAAGGCGUCUUACCAGAACGGACCUGACGGCAAGGGACGAAAGCUAGGGGCACGAACCGGAUUAGAUACCCGGGUAGUCCUAGCCGUAAACGAUACUCGCUAGGUGUCGGCCACGGUGCGACCGUUGUCGGUGCCGUAGGGAAGCCGUGAAGCGAGCCACCUGGGGAAGUACGGCCGCAAGGCUGAAACUUAAAGGAAUUGGCGGGGGAGCACCACAACGGGUGGAGCUUGCGGUUUAAUUGGAUUCAACGCCGGG